RNAcentral lists this ribosomal RNA (250 nucleotides) under uncultured Chroococcidiopsis sp. RNAcentral's name for it is "partial 16S ribosomal RNA". It matches the Rfam family "Bacterial small subunit ribosomal RNA", at positions 796 to 1044 of the family's 1533-position model. Lineage: Bacteria; Bacillati; Cyanobacteriota; Cyanophyceae; Chroococcidiopsidales; Chroococcidiopsidaceae. The record is from RNAcentral.
CUAGCCGUAAACGAUGGAUACUAGGCGUUGUGAGUAUCGACCCUCACAGUGUCGUAGCUAACGCGUUAAGUAUCCCACCUGGGGAGUACGCGCGCAAGCGUGAAACUCAAAGGAAUUGACGGGGGCCCGCACAAGCGGUGGAGUAUGUGGUUUAAUUCGAUGCAACGCGAAGAACCUUACCAGGACUUGACAUGUCGCGAAUCUCAGGGAAACUUGAGAGUGCCUUCGGGAGCGCGAACACAGGUGGUGC